UCAAGUAAAGGAAGAGCACAAGGCGGAUGCCUUGGCAGCAUAAGGCGAUGAAGGACGUAAUAACCUGCGAUAAGCCUCGGGGAGCUGGUAAAUAAGCUUCGAUCCGAGGAUUUCCGAAUGGGAAAACCCAAUACACAUAAGUGUAUUAUCUUAUACUGAAUACAUAGGUAUAAGAGGCAAACCUAGGGAACUGAAACAUCUAAGUACCUAGAGGAAAAGAAAUCAACAGAGAUUCCGGUAGUAGCGGCGAGCGAAACCGGACCAGCCCUUAAGCUUAUUUUAGUCCAGCAAAAUAUUCUGGAAAGUUUAGCCAUAGUAGGUGAUAGCCCUGUAUGCGAAAGACUAAUUUAAGUGAAAUCGAGUAGGUCGGGACACGAGAAAUCUUGACUGAACAUGGGGGGACCAUCCUCCAAGGCUAAAUACUCUAUGCUGACCGAUAGUGAACCAGUACCGUGAGGGAAAGGCGAAAAGAACCCCGGCGAGGGGAGUGAAAUAGAACCUGAAACCUUGUGCUUACAAGCAGUCGGAGCAGACUUGUUCUGUGACGGCGUACCUUUUGUAUAAUGGGUCAACGACUUAAUUUCAGUAGCAAGCUUAACCAUUUAGGGUAGGCGUAGGGAAACCGAGUCUUAAUAGGGCGCUCAGUUGCUGGAAUUAGACCCGAAACCGGGUGAUCUAUCCAUGGCCAGUGUGAAGGUCGAGUAACAUCGACUGGAGGCGCGAACCCACUUAUGUUGAAAAAUGAGGGGAUGAGCUGUGGAUAGGAGUGAAAGGCUAAUCAAACCCGGAGAUAGCUGGUUCUCUUCGAAAACUAUUUAGGUAGUGCCUCGUGUAUUACUGUAGGGGGUAGAGCACUGUUUCGGCUAGGGGGUCAUCCCGACUUACCAAACCGAUGCAAACUCCGAAUACCUACAAGUAUGAGCACGGGAGACAGACUGCGGGUGCUAACGUCCGUAGUCGAGAGGGAAACAACCCAGACUGUCAGCUAAGGUCCCAAAUUAUGAUUAAGUGGGAAACAAUGUGGGAAGGCACAAACAGCUAGGAGGUUGGCUUAGAAGCAGCCAUCCUUUAAAGAAAGCGUAAUAGCUCACUAGUCGAGUCGGCCUGCGUGGAAGAUAUAACGGGGCUAAAUCAUAAACCGAAGCUACGGAUCUUAAAUUUAUUUAAGAUGGUAGAAGAGCGUUCUGUAAGCGGUUGAAGGUGUGCUGUAAGGCAUGCUGGACGUAUCAGAAGUGCGAAUGUUGACAUGAGUAACGAUCAAAGAGGUGAAAAACCUCUUCGCCGAAAAUCCAAGGUUUCCUGUCCAACGCUAAUCGUGGCAGGGUGAGUCGGCUCCUAAGGCGAGGGCGAAAGCCGUAGUCGAUGGAAAACAGGUUAAUAUUCCUGUACUUCUUAUAAUUGCGAUGGGGUGACGGAGAAGGUUAGGCUAGCACGGCGACGGUUGUCCGUGUUCAAGGUUGUAGACUGAGAUUCUAGGUAAAUCCGGAAUCUCUUAAGGUCAAGAACUGAUAACGACCACUCUUUGAGUGGGAAGUAGUCGAUACCAUGCUUCCAGGAAAAACCUCUAAGCUUCAGAUUAUAAGAAACCGUACCCCAAACCGACACAGGUGGAUAAGUCGAGAAGACUAAGGUGUUUGAGAGAACUAUGGUGAAGGAACUAGGCAAAAUGGUACCGUAACUUCGGGAGAAGGUACGCCACCAUUGGUGAUGAGACUUGCUCUUUAAGCUGAUGGUGGUCGAAGAAACUAGGUGGCUGCGACUGUUUAUUAAAAACAUAGCACUCUGCAAAAUCGUAAGAUGACGUAUAGGGUGUGACGCCUGCCCGGUGCCGGAAGGUUAAUUGAUGGGGUUAGCUUCGGCGAAGCUCCUGAUCGAAGCCCCGGUAAACGGCGGCCGUAACUAUAACGGUCCUAAGGUAGCGAAAUUCCUUGUCGGGUAAGUUCCG
Molecule: ribosomal RNA, 1945 nt
Filed under: marine metagenome
Description: bacterial LSU rRNA
Rfam family: Bacterial large subunit ribosomal RNA
Source: RNAcentral